RNAcentral lists this ribosomal RNA (426 nucleotides) under fungal endophyte sp. ECD-2008. Its description in RNAcentral is "eukaryotic LSU rRNA". The stretch from base 98 to 252 matches the Rfam family "5.8S ribosomal RNA". The record is from RNAcentral. Lineage: Eukaryota; Fungi.
AAUUCGGCGGGUGGCCCCGCGAGGGCGCCCGCCGGAGGAGCGCAAACACUCUGUUUUNUUAGCGCGUCUCUGAGUGGAUACAGCGAAAUAAAUCAAAACUUUGCAACAACGGAUCUUCUUGGUUCUGGCAUCGAUGAAGAACGCAGCGAAAUGCGAUAAGUAAUGUGAAUUGCAGAAUUCAGUGAAUCAUCGAAUCUUUGAACGCACAUUGCGCCCGNUAGUAUUCUGGCGGGCAUGCCUGUUCGAGCGUCAUUUCAACCCCUCAAGCUCCGCUUGGUGCUGGGGCCCUACGUGCGCCGUAGGCCCCGAAUUACAGUGGCGGGCUCGCCGCGAUCCCGAGCGUAGUAACACACCUCGCUCUGGGGCUCCGCGGCGGGUGCCGGCCGUGAAAACGACCAACACAAACGCAAGGUGACCUCGGAUCAG